UACGUAGGGACCAAGCGUUGUCCGGAAUCAUUGGGCGUAAAGAGCGUGUAGGCGGCCAACUAAGUCCUGCGUGAAAUCUCGGGGCUCAACCCCGAGCGGUCGUGGGAAACUGGUUGGCUAGAGUGCGGGAGAGGAGAGUGGAAUUCCUGGUGUAGCGGUGAAAUGCGCAGAUAUCAGGAAGAACACCCGUGGCGAAGGCGGCUCUCUGGAACGCAACUGACGCUGAGACGCGAAAGCGUGGGGAGCAAACAGG
RNAcentral lists this ribosomal RNA (253 nucleotides) under uncultured bacterium. RNAcentral describes it as "partial 16S ribosomal RNA". It matches the Rfam family "Bacterial small subunit ribosomal RNA", at positions 524 to 776 of the family's 1533-position model. The record is from RNAcentral.